UACGGAGGGUGCAAGCGUUAUCCGGAUUCACUGGGUUGAAAGGGUGCGUAGGCGGGUAGGUAAGUCCGUGGUGAAAUCUCUGAGCUUAACUCAGGAACUGCCGUGGAUACUAUUUGCCUUGAAUAUUGUGGAGGUGAGCGGAAUAUGUCAUGUAGCGGUGAAAUGCUUAGAUAUGACAUAGAACACCAAUUGCGAAGGCAGCUCACUACACAAUGAUUGACGCUGAGGCACGAAAGCGUGGGGAUCAAACAGG
Molecule: ribosomal RNA, 253 nt
Filed under: uncultured bacterium
Lineage: Bacteria
Description: partial 16S ribosomal RNA
Rfam family: Bacterial small subunit ribosomal RNA
Source: RNAcentral